CAGCAGCCGCGGUAAUACGUAGGGUGCGAGCGUUAAUCGGAAUUACUGGGCGUAAAGCGUGCGCAGGCGGUUUUGUAAGACAGGCGUGAAAUCCCCGGGCUCAACCUGGGAAUGGCGCUUGUGACUGCAAAGCUAGAGUGCGGCAGAGGGGGGUGGAAUUCCGCGUGUAGCAGUGAAAUGCGUAGAUAUGCGGAGGAACACCGAUGGCGAAGGCAGCCCCCUGGGCCAAUACUGACGCUCAUGCACGAAAGCGUUGGGAGCAAACAGGAUUAGAUACCCGGGUAGUCCCUGUCUCUUAUAC
RNAcentral lists this ribosomal RNA (301 nucleotides) under uncultured bacterium. RNAcentral's name for it is "partial 16S ribosomal RNA". It matches the Rfam family "Bacterial small subunit ribosomal RNA", at positions 509 to 807 of the family's 1533-position model. The record is from RNAcentral.